GAUGAACGCUGGCGGCGUGCCUAAUACAUGCAAGUCGAGCGAACGGACGAGAAGCUUGCUUUUCUGAUGUUAGCGGCGGACGGGUGAGUAACACGUGGAUAACCUACCUAUAAGACUGGGAUAACUUCGGGAAACCGGAGCUAAUACCGGAUAAUAUUUUGAACCGCAUGGUUCAAAAGUGAAAGACGGUCUUGCUGUCACUUAUAGAUGGAUCCGCGCUGCAUUAGCUAGUUGGUAAGGUAACGGCUUAUCAAGGCAACGAUGCAUAGCCGACCUGAUAGGGGGAUCGGCCACACUGGAGCUGAGACACGGUCCAGACUCCUACGGAAGGCACCAGUAGGGAAUCUUCCGCAAUGGGCGAAAGCCUGACGGAGCAACGCCGCGUGAGUGAUGAAGGUCUUCGGAUCGUAAAACUCUGUUAUUAGGGAAGAACAUAUGUGUAAGUAACUGUGCACAUCUUGACGGUACCUAAUCAGAAAGCCACGGCUAACUACGUG
RNAcentral lists this ribosomal RNA (497 nucleotides) under uncultured bacterium. Its description in RNAcentral is "partial 16S ribosomal RNA". It matches the Rfam family "Bacterial small subunit ribosomal RNA", at positions 28 to 507 of the family's 1533-position model. The record is from RNAcentral.